UACGUAGGGGACGAGCGUUGUCCGGAUUCAUUGGGCGUAAAGCGCGCGUAGGCGGCUCGGAAAGUCGGGCGUGAAAUGCCGGGGCUCAACCCUGGAACUGCAUUGGAUACUUCCUUGCUAGAGUACUGGAGAGGAAACUGGAAUUUACGGUGUAGCAGUGAAAUGCGUAGAGAUCGUAAGGAAGACCAGUGGCGAAGGCGAGUUUCUGGACAGUUACUGACGCUG
This 225-nucleotide ribosomal RNA is filed under the name uncultured bacterium. RNAcentral's name for it is "partial 16S ribosomal RNA". It matches the Rfam family "Bacterial small subunit ribosomal RNA", at positions 524 to 748 of the family's 1533-position model. The record is from RNAcentral.